Molecule: unclassified non-coding RNA, 327 nt
Filed under: plant metagenome
Description: partial contains 5.8S ribosomal RNA, internal transcribed spacer 2, and large subunit ribosomal RNA
Rfam family: 5.8S ribosomal RNA (bases 1-105)
Source: RNAcentral
GAAAUGCGAUAAGUAAUGUGAAUUGCAGAAUUCAGUGAAUCAUCGAAUCUUUGAACGCACAUUGCGCCCGUUAGCAUUCUAGCGGGCAUGCCUGUCCGAGCGUCAUUUCAACCCUCAGGGCCCCCCGUUCCGGCGGGCGGACCUGGCGUUGGGGAUCGGCCCGCCCCGUGCGGCGCCGUCCCCCAAAUACAGUGGCGGUCCCGCCGCAGCCUCCCCUGCGUAGUAGUUUACAACCUCGCAUCGGAGCGCGGCGCGGCCACGCCGUAAAACCCCCGACUUUCUGAACGUUGACCUCGGAUCAGGUAGGAAUACCCGCUGAGCUUAAGA